GGGGAUGUAGCUCAAUUGGUAGAGCACCUGCUUUGCAAGCAGACGGUUAGGGGUUCAAAUCCCCUUUUCUCCA
Molecule: transfer RNA, 73 nt
Filed under: Providencia phage vB_PreS_PR1
Lineage: Duplodnaviria; Heunggongvirae; Uroviricota; Caudoviricetes; Demerecviridae
Rfam family: tRNA
About the family: Transfer RNA (tRNA) molecules are approximately 80 nucleotides in length. Their secondary structure includes four short double-helical elements and three loops (D, anti-codon, and T loops).
Source: Rfam by way of RNAcentral